AUGAGGAAGCCAAUUUCAAAUCUCAGAAUAAGCAAAGAGGGGUUCAGAGUAAAUAGGCCAACUGACAUACUUUAGUAAGUGGCAAGCUUGGCAUUUUUAUACAGAUCCAUUGAACUCGUAGUGUUACAUAACAUAUUGUCAAGGCUCAUAGUGUUAUAUAACAUAUUGUCACAUAUCAAACACCUUCUACACAAAUUGAUACACACCUUCAAUCUUCUACCAAAAGGCAAACUUAAUCAAUCAGUAUUGAUUGGGUAGAUUAUUGGAAUGUUUGAAGUUAUUUGUAAAACCCAAGAU
This 297-nucleotide long non-coding RNA is filed under the name Bos taurus (domestic cattle). Its description in RNAcentral is "long non-coding RNA NONBTAT011041". Lineage: Eukaryota; Metazoa; Chordata; Mammalia; Artiodactyla; Bovidae. The record is from RNAcentral.